RNAcentral lists this ribosomal RNA (747 nucleotides) under uncultured bacterium. RNAcentral's name for it is "bacterial SSU rRNA". It matches the Rfam family "Bacterial small subunit ribosomal RNA", at positions 28 to 766 of the family's 1533-position model. The record is from RNAcentral.
GAUGAACGCUAGCGGGAGGCUUAACACAUGCAAGUCGAGGGGCAGCAUAAUGUAGCAAUACAUUGAUGGCGACCGGCGCACGGGUGAGUAACGCGUAUGCAACCUACCUUUUACAGGAGGAUAGCUUCCGGAAACGGAAAUUAAUACUCCAUAAUUUUAUAAUAAGGCAUCUUACUAUAAUCAAAGCUACGGCGGUAAAAGAUGGGCAUGCGUAACAUUAGUUAGUUGGUGAGGUAACUGCUCACCAAGGCGACGAUGUUUAGGGGUCCUGAGAGGGUCCACCCCCACACUGGUACUGAGACACGGACCAGACUCCUACGGGAGGCAGCAGUGAGGAAUAUUGGUCAAUGGGCGCAAGCCUGAACCAGCCAUCCCGCGUGCAGGAAGACAGCCCUAUGGGUUGUAAACUGCUUUUCUGAGGGAAGAAUAACCAAGAUUUGUUCUUGGGACGACGGUACCUCAGGAAUAAGCAUCGGCUAACUCCGUGCCAGCAGCCGCGGUAAUACGGAGGAUGCAAGCGUUAUCCGGAUUCAUUGGGUUUAAAGGGUGCGUAGGCGGACUGGUAAGUCAGUGGUGAAAUCUUUCGGCUCAACCGAGAAACUGCCAUUGAAACUGUCAGUCUUGAGUCAGGUAGAGGUAGGCGGAAUGUGUAAUGUAGCGGUGAAAUGCUUAGAUAUUACACAGAACACCGAUUGCGUAGGCAGCUUACUGGACCUGCACUGACGCUGAAGGCACGAAAGCGUGGGG